UGCAAUUCCCCUGUGAACCACCAGGAGUUCGCAAACCCCAAUUUGGGAAAACCUGAUUUAGGCCACAAAAGUGUUUUCUCGGUUAAACAUCACCUGUUUGUAACAAAAGACGAGACAGAUGCUGACUUUUAUCAAACACUGAGGAGUACAUAUUGUUUCAAAGCAGCUUUACCUGCCGGGCAUAAAAGGUCCAGAGCUGAGGAGAAGCCAUUAGAUCAGACGCAGCAUCUGCAGAUGGAGCUUCAGGGUGCCUGAGGAUGAAAAGAAGAGACCUGCGGUCUGCAAAUGUCACUGGUCGAUGUGAGAAACCUGUGGAGCAUCAUGUGCUCUUGAAGCAUUUCACGAGGAACUCAAUACACAUGUAAAACUCACACGCAACAUGCUGUGUGGUUGCUAAGUUAUUGCUAGGUGUUGAGUGUGUUUCAUGAAUUUAGGUGGUGUUAAUGUUUGCAUGCUUCGAGAUGGAAAGCUUGGGUUUUUUAAGGUCUUUUGUUCAUAUAAUUCAUGUAUAAAUUGACCAUUAAUGAAGCAGAAGAAAUAAACCCGGAGGUGUCAGAGAGAAUGGAGAGGUUUAUGGUUUCUGCACAACAGGAGGAUGUUGUUCUGUAACAUCGUAAUGAUGAAAGCAGACACCUGCAUACAGAGAGAGAUUAUUCUGACUGAACCUGAGCACAUUUCCUCCAGGAUGUCGCAGGUCAUUAUAAAAUGAUAAAUGAACCAUUA
Long non-coding RNA from Misgurnus anguillicaudatus (oriental weatherfish), 723 nucleotides. RefSeq lists it as uncharacterized. The record is from RefSeq and is a predicted model, not a curated record. Lineage: Eukaryota; Metazoa; Chordata; Actinopteri; Cypriniformes; Cobitidae.